This 1397-nucleotide ribosomal RNA is filed under the name uncultured bacterium. Its description in RNAcentral is "16S ribosomal RNA". It matches the Rfam family "Bacterial small subunit ribosomal RNA". The record is from RNAcentral.
AGAGUUUGAUCCUGGCUCAGGAUGAACGCUAGCUACAGGCUUAACACAUGCAAGUCGAGGGGCAGCAUUUUAGUUUGCUUGCAAACUGAAGAUGGCGACCGGCGCACGGGUGAGUAACACGUAUCCAACCUGCCGAUAACUCCGGGAUAGCCUUUCGAAAGAAAGAUUAAUACCGGAUAGCAUACGAAUAUCGCAUGAUAUUUUUAUUAAAGAAUUUCGGUCAUCGAUGGGGAUGCGUUCCAUUAGGUUGUUGGCGGGGUAACGGCCCACCAAGCCUUCGAUGGAUAGGGGUUCUGAGAGGAAGGUCCCCCACAUUGGAACUGAGACACGGUCCAAACUCCUACGGGAGGCAGCAGUGAGGAAUAUUGGUCAAUGGACGAGAGUCUGAACCAGCCAAGUAGCGUGAAGGAUGACUGCCCUAUGGGUUGUAAACUUCUUUUAUACGGGAAUAAAGUGAGGCACGUGUGCCUUUUUGUAUGUACCGUAUGAAUAAGGAUCGGCUAACUCCGUGCCAGCAGCCGCGGUAAUACGGAGGAUCCGAGCGUUAUCCGGAUUUAUUGGGUUUAAAGGGAGCGUAGGCGGACGCUUAAGUCAGUUGUGAAAGUUUGCGGCUCAACCGUAAAAUUGCAGUUGAUACUGGGUGUCUUGAGUACAGUAGAGGCAGGCGGAAUUCGUGGUGUAGCGGUGAAAUGCUUAGAUAUCACGAAGAACUCCGAUUGCGAAGGCAGCUUGCUGGACUGUAACUGACGCUGAUGCUCGAAAGUGUGGGUAUCAAACAGGAUUAGAUACCCUGGUAGUCCACACAGUAAACGAUGAAUACUCGCUGUUUGCGAUAUACAGUAAGCGGCCAAGCGAGAGCGUUAAGUAUUCCACCUGGGGAGUACGCCGGCAACGGUGAAACUCAAAGGAAUUGACGGGGGCCCGCACAAGCGGAGGAACAUGUGGUUUAAUUCGAUGAUACGCGAGGAACCUUACCCGGGCUUGAAUUGCAACUGAAUGAUGUGGAGACAUGUCAGCCGCAAGGCAGUUGUGAAGGUGCUGCAUGGUUGUCGUCAGCUCGUGCCGUGAGGUGUCGGCUUAAGUGCCAUAACGAGCGCAACCCUUAUCGAUAGUUACCAUCAGGUUAUGCUGGGGACUCUGUCGAGACUGCCGUCGUAAGAUGUGAGGAAGGUGGGGAUGACGUCAAAUCAGCACGGCCCUUACGUCCGGGGCUACACACGUGUUACAAUGGGGGGUACAGAAGGCAGCUACACGGCGACGUGAUGCUAAUCCCGAAAGCCUCUCUCAGUUCGGAUUGGAGUCUGCAACCCGACUCCAUGAAGCUGGAUUCGCUAGUAAUCGCGCAUCAGCCACGGCGCGGUGAAUACGUUCCCGGGCCUUGUACACACCGCCCGUCA